RNAcentral lists this ribosomal RNA (398 nucleotides) under uncultured microorganism. RNAcentral describes it as "bacterial SSU rRNA". It matches the Rfam family "Archaeal small subunit ribosomal RNA", at positions 330 to 733 of the family's 1478-position model. The record is from RNAcentral.
GUGCAGCAGGCGAGAAUCCUCCGCAAUACACGAAAGUGUGACGGGGUUACCCAAAGUGUCCAAAUUUGGACUGUGGUAGGUGAGUAAUGUCCCCUACUAGAAAGGAGAGGGCAAGGCUGGUGCCAGCCGCCGCGGUAAAACCAGCUCUUCAAGUGGUCGGGAUAAUUAUUGGGCUUAAAGUGUCCGUAGCCCGGUUUAGUAAGUUCCUGGUAAAAUCGGGUAGCUUAACUAUCUGUAUGCUAGGAAUACUGCUAUACUAGAGGGCGGGAGAGGUCUGAGGUACUACGAGGGGUAGGGGUGAAAUCCUGUAAUCCUUGUAGGACCACCAGUGGCGAAGGCGUCAGACUGGAACGCGCUGACGGUGAGGGACGAAAGCCAGGGGAGCGAACCGGAUUAGA